UACGAAGGGUGCAAGCGUUACUCGGAAUUACUGGGCGUAAAGCGUGCGUAGGUGGUUCGUUAAGUCUGAUGUGAAAGCCCUGGGCUCAACCUGGGAAUGGCAUUGGAAACUGGCGAGCUAGAGUGCGGUAGAGGGUAGUGGAAUUCCCGGUGUAGCAGUGAAAUGCGUAGAUAUCGGAAGGAACACCAGUGGCGAAAGCGGCUUCCUGGUCCAGCACCGACGUUCAGGCACGAAAGCGUGGGGAGCAAACAGG
Molecule: ribosomal RNA, 253 nt
Filed under: uncultured bacterium
Lineage: Bacteria
Description: partial 16S ribosomal RNA
Rfam family: Bacterial small subunit ribosomal RNA
Source: RNAcentral